UUGUACUGUCUUCUAUUUUUUUAAAUUUUGGAUUUUUCAUACGUUUUGAACCGUGCAUUUUGCUAUCGGCAUUAAGCCAAUAGCAGGUAGCUCACCCCCAAGCAUGAGAACAAGCCCAUUCAUUCCAGUAAUUGAUGCCGACAGCCCAUCAGGAGAAUAAUGUAUGGGAAUAAUGAAAGAUUGUUUAUGUAUCACGGCAUGAGAAGGUAGGGAGGCUUGUUUUUUUUUUUGUCUUUGCUUUUUUUUUUCAGGAGGGCGGCGAUGCUGACGGAUGGACAGAAGUGACAGUGCGGUAUUCAUCCUGCACGCUCCGCCGCUGGUGUUUGGACAUGGCAAUAAAUCAAGAGCUCUUCCGCCGCCCUAUCUACAGCUUAUUACUGCCGGCGUGACAAAUAAAUAAUAAUCCCUGUCAGCCAGGCCCUUUUCCACUACACGAUCAAAAGGCCGACUGAACUCAUCACUCCUGCUUGUUGCUUGCAAGCAUCGCCUCAGCAGCAAGCGGAAGUAUAUGCGGCUUUUUCCCUUUAUGGAUAUGAGACAAAAGGGAGGCUGCGGCAGUGGAAGGCGAGAGCGCGGCCUAAUGGCGCUGAUUAAUGACAACGGGCCAGAGGAGAGCCGGGACACGGGCGCAACAUCUAUCAUCCUUUCUCAUCAGUCGGUGCACCUCCGUUCUUCCCCAAGAAGAAAAAGAAAAAUGCACCGGCUGAAAUAAAUACAAUACUAAGCUU
This is a long non-coding RNA of Hippocampus comes (tiger tail seahorse), 728 nucleotides long. RefSeq lists it as uncharacterized. The record is from RefSeq and is a predicted model, not a curated record. NCBI's taxonomy places the organism in Eukaryota, Metazoa, Chordata, Actinopteri, Syngnathiformes, Syngnathidae. The transcript is spliced from 2 exons.